Molecule: small nuclear RNA, 105 nt
Organism: Camelus dromedarius (Arabian camel)
Lineage: Eukaryota; Metazoa; Chordata; Mammalia; Artiodactyla; Camelidae
Source: Ensembl
GUGCUCCCUUCAGCAGCACGUGUACUAAAAUUGGAGUGAUACAGAGAAGAUUAGCAUGGCCCCUACACAAGGCUGACACAAAUUUGUGAAGCGUUCCAUGUUUUU